GAACCAGGUCGCCAUGAACCCCACCAAUACCGUGUUCGAUGCCAAGCGUUUAAUUGGGAGGCGGUUCAAUGAUGCCACAGUGCAGGCCGACAUAAAGUUGUGGCCUUUCAAGGUCACAGCUGGGCCUGGAGAUAAACCUAUGAUCAGUGUCCAGUACAAGGGGGAGGAGAAGCAAUUUGCCGCAGAAGAAAUUUCGUCGAUGGUGCUGAUAAAGAUGAGGGAGAUUGCCGAGGCUUUCCUUGGGUCCACUGUCAAGAAUGCCGUGGUCACAGUACCUGCCUACUUCAAUGAUUCCCAGCGCCAGGCUACCAAGGAUGCAGGUGUCAUUGCCGGUCUCAAUGUCAUGAGGAUCAUCAAUGAGCCUACUGCUGCCGCCAUCGCCUAUGGCCUCGACAAGAAAGCUACGAGCACUGGCGAGAAGAAUGUGUUGAUUUUUGAUCUUGGAGGGGGGACUUUCGAUGUCUCUCUCCUCACCAUUGAAGAGGGGAUCUUUGAAGUGAAGGCCACUGCCGGA
RNAcentral lists this unclassified non-coding RNA (514 nucleotides) under Hevea brasiliensis (rubber tree). Lineage: Eukaryota; Viridiplantae; Streptophyta; Magnoliopsida; Malpighiales; Euphorbiaceae. The record is from RNAcentral.